This 440-nucleotide ribosomal RNA is filed under the name uncultured bacterium. Its description in RNAcentral is "bacterial SSU rRNA". It matches the Rfam family "Bacterial small subunit ribosomal RNA", at positions 339 to 796 of the family's 1533-position model. The record is from RNAcentral.
CUACGGGAGGCAGCAGUGGGGAAUCUUGGACAAUGGGGGCAACCCUGAUCCAGCGACGCCGCGUGGGUGACGAAGGCCUUCGGGUUGUAAAGCCCUUUUCUUGGGGACGAUGAUGACGGUACCCAGGGAAUAAGCACCGGCUAACUCCGUGCCAGCAGCCGCGGUAAGACGGAGGGUGCUAGCGUUGUUCGGAAUUACUGGGCGUAAAGGGCGCGUAGGCGGCCAGAUCAGUCGGGUGUGAAAGCCCGGGGCUCAACCCCGGAACGGCACCCGAGACGGUUUGGCUGGAGACCGGGAGAGGAGGGUGGAAUAGCCAGUGUAGAGGUGAAAUUCGUAGAUAUUGGCUGGAACACCGGUGGCGAAGGCGACUCCCUGGACCGCAACUGACGCUGAGAUGCGAAAGCGUGGGUAGCAAACAGGAUUAGAAACCCCGGUAGUCC